This is a long non-coding RNA of Rhinichthys klamathensis goyatoka, 463 nucleotides long. RefSeq lists it as uncharacterized. The record is from RefSeq and is a predicted model, not a curated record. Lineage: Eukaryota; Metazoa; Chordata; Actinopteri; Cypriniformes; Leuciscidae. The transcript has 3 exons.
UCACAAAUAGUGCUCAACCGCAGAUGGCUCAAGGAUAUUGAGAAGUUUCUCACCUUCCGGACAACUUCACAACUAGAAUCCUUCCAAAACCACAUACUCAUGUAUGCUGGCAAGCGGUUUGCCUUUUCAUAUGAAGCCUAUGAAGCCAGGACAUUUCUUGCGGCGUUGGACUACAACCACCACAACAACCGACCACUACAUGUCAACAACAAAGGCCAAGUGAUGCAAAAAAGACUGUACAGCAAGAAGUCACAGCGCUAUCGGGUACAAGCAGUGAAAGAGGCAAAAGACUAUAGUUACAUCCCUGACCUGCUUAUGAAAAUUCUAGGAUUAUGACUUCAGUCUGCAGGAGGACUCCCAAGAAAACGAAGCUACAGACCAGAUAACCCUCGGUUACUGGGACCCCUGUCUGGCAUUGUGCCCCCUCCUACAGCAGAUCUGGUGCAGUCACAGGUCCAAAGAG